AUCCAGUUGAUGGGUCCCAAAUAAGACGAAAUGCUCAUACUGGAU
Trichobilharzia regenti is the source of this 45-nucleotide non-coding RNA. Lineage: Eukaryota; Metazoa; Platyhelminthes; Trematoda; Strigeidida; Schistosomatidae. The record is from Rfam.